GACGUAGGGCGCGAGCGUUGUCCGGAAUUAUUGGGCGUAAAGAGCUCGUAGGCGGCUUGUCGCGUCGGCUGUGAAAUCCCGUGGCUCAACUGCGGGUCUGCAGCCGAUACGGGCAGGCUAGAGUUCGGUAGGGGAGACUGGAAUUCCUGGUGUAGCGGUGAAAUGCGCAGAUAUCAGGAAGAACACCCGUGGCGAAGGCGGCUCUCUGGGACGGUACUGACGCUGAGACGCGAAAGCGUGGGGAGCGAACAGG
RNAcentral lists this ribosomal RNA (253 nucleotides) under uncultured bacterium. Its description in RNAcentral is "partial 16S ribosomal RNA". It matches the Rfam family "Bacterial small subunit ribosomal RNA", at positions 524 to 776 of the family's 1533-position model. The record is from RNAcentral.